GAUGAACGCUGGCGGCGUGCCUAAUACAUGCAAGUCGAGCGAACAGACGAGGAGCUUGCUCCUCUGACGUUAGCGGCGGACGGGUGAGUAACACGUGGAUAACCUACCUAUAAGACUGGGAUAACUUCGGGAAACCGGAGCUAAUACCGGAUAUUAUAUUGAACCGCAUGGUUCAAUAGUGAAAGACGGUUUUGCUGUCACUUAUAGAUGGAUCCGCGCCGCAUUAGCUAGUUGGUAAGGUAACGGCUUACCAAGGCAACGAUGCGUAGCCGACCUGAGAGGGUGAUCGGCCACACUGGAACUGAGACACGGUCCAGACUCCUACGGGAGGCAGCAGUAGGGAAUCUUCCGCAAUGGGCGAAAGCUUGACGGAGCAACGCCGCGUGAGUGAUGAAGGUCUUCGGAUCGUAAAACCCUGUUAUUAGGGAAGAACAAAUGUGUAAGUAACUAUGCACGUCUUGACGGUACCUAAUCAGAAAGCCACGGCUAACUACGUG
RNAcentral lists this ribosomal RNA (497 nucleotides) under uncultured bacterium. RNAcentral describes it as "partial 16S ribosomal RNA". It matches the Rfam family "Bacterial small subunit ribosomal RNA", at positions 28 to 507 of the family's 1533-position model. The record is from RNAcentral.